This 1520-nucleotide ribosomal RNA is filed under the name Staphylococcus aureus. RNAcentral's name for it is "bacterial SSU rRNA". It matches the Rfam family "Bacterial small subunit ribosomal RNA". The record is from RNAcentral. Lineage: Bacteria; Bacillati; Bacillota; Bacilli; Caryophanales; Staphylococcaceae.
AGAGUUUGAUCCUGGCUCAGGAUGAACGCUGGCGGCGUGCCUAAUACAUGCAAGUCGAGCGAACGGACGAGAAGCUUGCUUCUCUGAUGUUAGCGGCGGACGGGUGAGUAACACGUGGAUAACCUACCUAUAAGACUGGGAUAACUUCGGGAAACCGGAGCUAAUACCGGAUAAUAUUUUGAACCGCAUGGUUCAAAAGUGAAAGACGGUCUUGCUGUCACUUAUAGAUGGAUCCGCGCUGCAUUAGCUAGUUGGUAAGGUAACGGCUUACCAAGGCAACGAUGCAUAGCCGACCUGAGAGGGUGAUCGGCCACACUGGAACUGAGACACGGUCCAGACUCCUACGGGAGGCAGCAGUAGGGAAUCUUCCGCAAUGGGCGAAAGCCUGACGGAGCAACGCCGCGUGAGUGAUGAAGGUCUUCGGAUCGUAAAACUCUGUUAUUAGGGAAGAACAUAUGUGUAAGUAACUGUGCACAUCUUGACGGUACCUAAUCAGAAAGCCACGGCUAACUACGUGCCAGCAGCCGCGGUAAUACGUAGGUGGCAAGCGUUAUCCGGAAUUAUUGGGCGUAAAGCGCGCGUAGGCGGUUUUUUAAGUCUGAUGUGAAAGCCCACGGCUCAACCGUGGAGGGUCAUUGGAAACUGGAAAACUUGAGUGCAGAAGAGGAAAGUGGAAUUCCAUGUGUAGCGGUGAAAUGCGCAGAGAUAUGGAGGAACACCAGUGGCGAAGGCGACUUUCUGGUCUGUAACUGACGCUGAUGUGCGAAAGCGUGGGGAUCAAACAGGAUUAGAUACCCUGGUAGUCCACGCCGUAAACGAUGAGUGCUAAGUGUUAGGGGGUUUCCGCCCCUUAGUGCUGCAGCUAACGCAUUAAGCACUCCGCCUGGGGAGUACGACCGCAAGGUUGAAACUCAAAGGAAUUGACGGGGACCCGCACAAGCGGUGGAGCAUGUGGUUUAAUUCGAAGCAACGCGAAGAACCUUACCAAAUCUAGAGAUAGAGCCUUCCCCUUCGGGGGACAAAGUGACAGGUGGUGCAUGGUUGUCGUCAGCUCGUGUCGUGAGAUGUUGGGUUAAGUCCCGCAACGAGCGCAACCCUUAAGCUUAGUUGCCAUCAUUAAGUUGGGCACUCUAAGUUGACUGCCGGUGACAAACCGGAGGAAGGUGGGGAUGACGUCAAAUCAUCAUGCCCCUUAUGAUUUGGGCUACACACGUGCUACAAUGGACAAUACAAAGGGCAGCGAAACCGCGAGGUCAAGCAAAUCCCAUAAAGUUGUUCUCAGUUCGGAUUGUAGUCUGCAACUCGACUACAUGAAGCUGGAAUCGCUAGUAAUCGUAGAUCAGCAUGCUACGGUGAAUACGUUCCCGGGUCUUGUACACACCGCCCGUCACACCACGAGAGUUUGUAACACCCGAAGCCGGUGGAGUAACCUUUUAGGAGCUAGCCGUCGAAGGUGGGACAAAUGAUUGGGGUGAAGUCGUAACAAGGUAGCCGUAUCGGAAGGUGCGGCUGGAUCACCU